Populus nigra (black poplar) is the source of this 898-nucleotide long non-coding RNA. RefSeq lists it as uncharacterized. Lineage: Eukaryota; Viridiplantae; Streptophyta; Magnoliopsida; Malpighiales; Salicaceae. The transcript has 4 exons. The record is from RefSeq and is a predicted model, not a curated record.
UUCCAACGGUCAAAAUAUUUCAUUUCUAUCAAGCAAACCAAACUGUGUGUAAAUAAACGAAGAAAGGAAACCCCUUUCUUCAUUUUUCUCUCAUGCCUCUCUUUCUGGGUUUUCAAAAUCCUCUCUCUCUUAAAGAAAAACCCCAAGAAAGAUCGUUCAUCAAGUUUCAUUCUAAGGAUUGUCUUGAGAAAGAAACUUCAAUUCAGGUCAUGAACAUUAUUUAUCCUUUUUUAUCGCAUUUAUCUUAUGUCUUGCCUCAUUAAUUGCUAAAAUCAUCCUAGGUUUAGUCUUUUUUCUCUCUAUUUUCUUUUUUUUUUUCGAAUUUGGAAAAUGGGGUUAUGUAUGCUUUCUUUUUUCCUUCUUUGUAUGGUUGUAGACCUGCUUUUGCAGAAACAUGACACCUCCGUUCAGCCAAGCAUUCAGGUGAAAACAAGAUUGACUUUAAAUAACCUAUCAGCCAGGGAUACAUGCUGGCUAGCACGUUAGCUUCUAGUUUUUGACCAGCUGCAUGCCUGCUCUUUGGCCUUGACACUAGAGCCUCGGUGUUUGCCGCAGGCUGCAGCAUCACUCCCCUGCAUGAAGCUAUGCCUUGGCCUCGUCUUGACGUGUAGCAUUCCAUGAGCUAUGCUAAUUUGUUGUACUAGGUGUUUUUUGUCUUGUUCAUCAAAGGUUUUUCUUCAAGAAUCCUCUGGGAGCUGCUCUACUUCUUGCCUAAAGCUGUUUCUACUCACGGACUAGUACUGUUUCUGCAAAUAGCUAGGCUUUUGUCAUAUAGUUUCAGUAUUAGAGUAAAUAUGUUAUUUCUCAUUUGAAAUAUGUUAUUCCAGGUAAAAACAAGAUUGACAUUACAGAUGCGGCACAGCUGCUCAAAGGGAGAAAAAGAAAACAUCCUUGAACA